Molecule: long non-coding RNA, 4307 nt
Filed under: Triticum aestivum (bread wheat)
Lineage: Eukaryota; Viridiplantae; Streptophyta; Magnoliopsida; Poales; Poaceae
Description: long non-coding RNA (TAES_LNC010125)
Source: RNAcentral
UUCUCUUAAAGAAAAGGUGUAAAGAAUGAACUAUAUACACUGGAUAUUCAUUACACGAAUCAAAGGUAGAAGAGCUACUUCAGGACAAAAAAUGUAUAUAUUACAACCGGUUCUUCUAUCUAUAUGUAACCAUUCGUCAUUAAGCUCAAUAUACCUUCUUUUUUGCCGAAGUCAAGAUCUAUUGCAGCUCAAUGCAAGCAGCUUCAACACUGAACCUUCAAUGUAGAAAUGCAAUCCCUUGUCUAUAUAGUUGCACAGUCAAGAUUGCAAUAUUGGCAUGUAUCUCAAGAGCAGCAAAAUCAUAUGCUCCUGGGUUCUAGCACUUGCCCAGCUGAUAUAACUCAAGCAAGAAAACAUAUUCAGUAAACUAAAAUGGAAACUUUUUAGAAAGAGCCAUUAAAUAGUUGCUACGAGCUACAAUGCAGUAAUGUCGUCUCCAAGGUCGACGCUCAUUUCUCCCUCAUACGUCUGGACGUGUUUGGACAUCAAACGGGUGCCCAACAGGCUCCCCAAAAUUCAGCUGACUGGACAGUUCGGACUCCCCCAAAUCCAACCCAUAUGUGAGGGGAAAAUGUGAUUGCCCGGAGUAUCUAUCAUGUUAUCCACAACACACGAUCCCAAAAGAGAGAAGAAAAAUAAAUCAUGACACACAUUUCUCUUUUCCUGACGGACCCUCCCCUUCCCUCUCGGUUUCAUGCCGUAGUGAAACAUUUCUUGUUGGAGUCCUCUCCUUUAAACCAGAGACCGCCCACCUCAGCUUCGCCACGGCACCCUCUCGCUUCACAUCGUACUUCCCCAUGGAGUGGCAAGGAGGAGUCUCCCGCCAACCACCCCGCUCUCCGCCCCAAUCCCCUCGCCAUGUUCGUGUCGAUCCGUGGGCUGCCGUUGCAUUGCCAUGGAAUAACAGAAAAUGCACCAAUCACACAAUUGUUCUAAUUUAGAAAUGUGACUCGAACAUGACGACGUGUGGCUACCAUUCAUAUAAUGGCAACAAAUACCAAUUAUCUCUACCUCUUCUUUCGUCCGGUAGUCAUCGUCUCCUUAACCACUCUCAAAGACAAAGCGACAUCUAUCUCCUUGCCACCUGCUACUCCUUCCCCGAGAAAGUACACAUGGUCGAUGAGCGUCCGAUGGUUGAACGCGGUCGAGGCAGCCUCGUUGUCGCUCGCGCUCAUGACCAGUGGCGAGCUUCGCGUCCUCGACAGCACCACCAAAGACGACAAGCCCAUGCACCGCACGGGGCCUAGUCAGGCGUCAUCCUCGACUACAACAGCCUCCAGGUGAACGACAUGGACCACAACAGUGCUUGUCGUGGGGCACGAAGACGAGGUGUUGGUUGAAAUGCCUAGGAAAGAAAGAGGAGGAAGAAGAAGGUAAUAACGGCAAAUAUAACAGUCCGAAUAAACGGAGUUCACUUUGCUGCCGCAUCAGCCCUGACAAGUGGGUCCCACAUGUCAUAACACGUUUAAAACCAGCAAAAUGGUCAUCUAACGCAAGUGGUAGUUUUUAGGCAAAAAAUUAGCAUAAUCUGGUUUUUUUGACGUUUUUUAAACCGGUAGUUCUGUGGGACCGAUGAAACCUGUAGUGUGAUAGUUUUAUGAUAAAUACUCUCCACUAUUGGGGCAUAUCAUAAGCAACCUACAUGUGACAUGUGGCAAUGCAACAAAGCGUAGCUUUUCAAAGAAAGAUAACUGUAGCUUGCUCGGCAACUAAGACAGAAAAGCUUACUUUCCUACCUAGCUUUGACGGAAACUCUGGCCAGGCUCCACAGGGCGCCAGAAGGGAUGGAACGGCUAUCUGUUACCUUGGCUCACCGAGAAUCAUACCAGCAGAUCACUGCCGCCUUACACACAGACCGUAUCUACCAGUUAGCACUGCGUCCACACUCCUCUCUGCUCUCCCUUUCUCUCCCCUCAUGAGCGCAAGGGACAAAGAAUGACACUGGAAUCAAAUAAUAAAUUAGGAUUAACAACAACCCAUCAGGUCGAGGACAAAGAAUAUUCUGAAGAAAGAUGGCACGAUACAAUAAUUUUGAUAGCAAAAUUCCAUGUCUUUUUUUUAUCACAAAAUUGUUUUUCUUUUACAAAUGCAACAAAAUGAUCCUUGAUAGAAUACAUGGAUAUAAUUAAAAGGGACAACAAUACAAAAUAAGGAUUAGAUAAGCUUCUAAACUAACCUUUUAGCAUUUAGUCUAAACAUGGAUUAAAUAAUUUCAGUAAUCAUUUAUUUAUUAGAAAUGUAACCUGAUGUGUGGCUCACAUCUGCAAAACAAUUGUUCAGUGGGCUUGGGGCUUGAAUCUAAGAAAAACUUAUAUGAAAUUUUAGAGAAGAUCAAUGCCAAGUUGGACCCGUCACAUUGAGCUUCAUCCCAGCUACAUUUUAUUUUCGACCAAUAAUAAGCUGCAAUUCUCUUGUUCUGCUAUGAUAAGUAACGGAAUCUGUUCUUAACUACAACCAGUAGAGGAAUAUCAUCAGACAUGUGGUAGUUGCUCUUAAAGAAGGCACAAGACAAGUAGACAACAAGUCAAAAGCUUAUAAACCAUGAACAUUAUCCAGUGAGCUUUACCAAGAUGCAAUUUUUGCUAGAACUGAGUGUCAUGGUCUACAUAUAGUAACAGAAGUAGGACUAGAAGAAGUGGGUGAGACAAACCUGCACCAAACUAUCAAUUUUGAGCAGCGAGAGGCCAUAGCGCUUAAGUGACACAAGCGACAAGGCAUUGCAGCUUGCGGUGCAACCAAGAGCUCCCUAGCGGUGGCGGGAUGGUUUCCCUGUGCAGCGAUAGAAGUCAUGAAAACAGAGCAAUUUUUCAGUUUCGAUACAAAAUUUAAGGAAGAAAACUUUUCACCUACAAUCAGAACAGGGGAUCCAUAUCAGAGCAUGAAGAGUAUUCAUUUAGUACCAGUACUGAUAUGAAACAAUCUACGGAAUUCAAAAUCAAGAAAAUAUAGUAUAGAAGAUUAUAUGUGCAAAUUCCAGCAGUGAAUUAAAGGGUAUGAAACAAUCUACGGAAUUCAAAAUCAAGAAAAUAUGGUAUAGAAGAUUAUAUGUGCAAAUUCCGGCAGUGAAUUACAGGGAUGCUACAGGGACACCAACUUCUAAUUCUUCCAUCCUGCACAAAACAGUUACUUCGUCGAAGGCAAACUGAACGGAUUCAGAUCCUCGGGAAGAACUUUGGUUUGGAGUAGUAUUUGCGGAAUUCUCCUACCAUGGUGAGGCUCCACUCCCAUGCAUUGCAGUGGUAUUUCUGAAGUCUCUUGCCACGGUGAUACUCCACUCCGAUGCAUGACAGAGCUAGAUAUUUGAUUAUCAAACUAUAACCCGCUCUGGUAAGUAGACAAGGUCCAACCUAAAAAAACACAACCAUCUGGUCAUAAAUUACUAAGAUUGUAGAGGUACACACUUGUCUAACAAAGUAUCACCCACUCUGGGUCCAUCCUCAGAAGUAAUAACACCAAAACCGCUAGAGGGCACGUGAACGAGCCAAAUUCAGUGUGGUUUCACAUUUCAGGCUACAGAAACUUAACAAUAAUAAAAUGACCAGGCAUGCAUCAAAUCACUGUUUUCAGUGGUGAAUUGGCACAUAGACAUAUAAUCCUAUGUUUUUAAGGUGACGCUUCACUUUAAGGCGCUGGGGGGGGGCGCCUCGACGCCUAGGCGUCGCCUAAGCGUCGCCUUACAGAUACCUUAAAAACAUAGAUAUAAUCAUCAUCGGAAAGAAGAAGAGAUCGAAGCAAGACACUUACGGCUUUCAUUGUCGAGUAGGCGGUAGUGGUGUGGCCAACGUGGGGCAAGAAAAAAGCCUCUUUUUCAUCCCGAUGGCCCUGCCGCGGUGCAUCACCAUAUGAUCCUUGGCCAUGGUAUUCUCAUACUUGCGUGCUUGGAAGUCCGCUAGAAAGAUGGAUGGUGCUAACAUUGGUGUUGAUAGCCGUUUGCCCAAUCAGCACGAAGCAAAAUAUCCAGCCUAAGCCUGUCUAGCAAACACAUCCAUAGAAAAACAUAUACUAAUUUGUAACAGAUCUUCAGUUCUUUUGAUAUUGCUGUUGCUGCUUCCAACAGAAAUUGACCAACGCACUUCAUCCAAAAUAAUGAGAGGACAAGCACGGCAGAACAACAAAACUCAUGGGGACGAAAGUCAAAAAGGAGUCGGGAAGCACCGUAGCAGUUGUGAGUUGUGAAGGACGUCAAACAAUCGCAGUCGUCUCCAAGGUCGACGCGCUGGGAUCACAUUUGCUUCAGUCAAAUUAAAGAGCCAUUGCACAUAGACUAUGAACUACAUGGCAUUUGAAGUCAGCAUUCCAAUAUUUGC